RNAcentral lists this unclassified non-coding RNA (202 nucleotides) under Hevea brasiliensis (rubber tree). The record is from RNAcentral. Lineage: Eukaryota; Viridiplantae; Streptophyta; Magnoliopsida; Malpighiales; Euphorbiaceae.
CGCUGCUUCAGCGAGCGAUGGCCACAAGAAGUAGCUCGUAUCUCGUCAAAGAGCUCUUCAGGAGCGAGGGACGCGUAUUUGGCGAGGCAUGCCUCGUUGCAUCAGUUCAAAUUUGUUGAUCCUUUGUCUGCGGACUUGUAUACGGAUGCGAAAUCUUUUGAUCAUAUUAUGUUGGACAAGAAUGAUAUUAUCUUUUCACAGG